GGGACGGCUAACUACGUGCCAGCAGCCGCGGUAAUACGUAGGUCCCGAGCGUUAUCCGGAAUUAUUGGGCGUAAAGGGCACGUAGGCGGACAAAUAAGUUUGAUGUCAAAUAUGAUGGCUCAACCAUCAAGAGGCGUUGAAAACUGUUUAUCUAGAAUCUCGGAGAGGUAAGUGGAAUUCCAUGUGUAGCGGUGGAAUGCGUAGAUAUAUGGAGGAACACCAAUGGCGAAGGCAGCUUACUGGACGAAGAUUGACGCUGAGGUGCGAAAGCGUGGGUAGCAAACAGGAUUAGAUACCCUGGUAG
RNAcentral lists this ribosomal RNA (304 nucleotides) under uncultured bacterium. RNAcentral's name for it is "bacterial SSU rRNA". It matches the Rfam family "Bacterial small subunit ribosomal RNA", at positions 490 to 793 of the family's 1533-position model. The record is from RNAcentral.